Caenorhabditis elegans is the source of this 21-nucleotide non-coding RNA. The record is from Ensembl. NCBI's taxonomy places the organism in Eukaryota, Metazoa, Nematoda, Chromadorea, Rhabditida, Rhabditidae.
UUGAUUUUGCAUAAAAUUUGA